UGUGCUACUACCAAGCCAAAGAGACCCUAGUGCUUGGUGCCUUCUCCAGGGACCCAGCCACAUCCCCUCCCUUUGGCUCUGGGACAAUGUUUCCACGUUCAAAUAUUGCAGCUUACAGGAGGGUAAGACAAGCUCUGAAUGUAGUUUCAAGAGUGUCCAAAGAUGAAUCCUUCAUGGAGUUCUAUGGGCCCAGCAUGGCAAUACUCAAACAACCCAUGGAGCCUGUGUUCCUUGAGGUGGAGCUGAAGGACGAGAGCCCCAGUGUGGAGUUAUACCUGGAAAACUGCUGGGUAGCCUCAUCUCCAGACUUCAACAGCAACCCAAGAUGGAACAUCA
Molecule: non-coding RNA, 336 nt
Organism: Zonotrichia albicollis (white-throated sparrow)
Lineage: Eukaryota; Metazoa; Chordata; Aves; Passeriformes; Passerellidae
Source: RefSeq, a predicted model, not a curated record